UGAGGAAUAUUGGUCAAUGGGCGAGAGCCUGAACCAGCCAAGUAGCGUGCAGGAUGACGGCCCUAUGGGUUGUAAACUGCUUUUAUGCGGGGAUAACGUGCACCACGUGUGGUGUAUUGCAGGUACCGCAUGAAUAAGGACCGGCUAAUUCCGUGCCAGCAGCCGCGGUAAUACGGAAGGUCCGGGCGUUAUCCGGAUUUAUGGGUUUAAAGGGAGCGUAGGCCGCUGUUUAAGCGUGUUGUGAAAAACCGGGGCUCAACUCCGGUCGUGCAGCGCGAACUGGUUUUCUUGAGUGCGCGCGACGCAGGCGGAAUUCGUGGUGUAGCGGUGAAAUGCUUAGAUAUCACGAGGAACCCCGAUUGCGAAGGCAGCUUGCGGGAGCGCAACUGACGCUGAAGCUCGAAGGUGCGGGUAUCGAACAGGAUUAGAUACCCUGGUAGU
RNAcentral lists this ribosomal RNA (441 nucleotides) under uncultured Prevotella sp. Its description in RNAcentral is "bacterial SSU rRNA". It matches the Rfam family "Bacterial small subunit ribosomal RNA", at positions 355 to 794 of the family's 1533-position model. Lineage: Bacteria; Pseudomonadati; Bacteroidota; Bacteroidia; Bacteroidales; Prevotellaceae. The record is from RNAcentral.